RNAcentral lists this long non-coding RNA (550 nucleotides) under Capsella rubella. RNAcentral describes it as "long non-coding RNA (CRUB_LNC004456)". Lineage: Eukaryota; Viridiplantae; Streptophyta; Magnoliopsida; Brassicales; Brassicaceae. The record is from RNAcentral.
GAUAUAUGUGACAUGAGAAGGGAAAAAAGUCUAUUUUAUUUUUCUAAAAAAAUAAAUAUAUUUAUAAAAACAAAUAGCAGUAAUAUGGAAACUUUAUGAUGGGUCGAUUCCUUGUCCCAAGAGGAUCUAUGGAGGUUGUGUAAUAAAUAAUAGAAAAAGUAGAACUUGAAAAAGAAAAAAAGAAAAAUGAUGAAAAAAAUUGAAACUGAAAUAAAUAAGGUAGCUGUGUCGGACGCGAGGGUUGGUGAAAGUGGCCAAAAAAAAAAAAAAAAGGCUUGGACGCCAAUUUGUUUUGUAGACGACGUUCGUUAACGGCUUUGUUGUGUCCAUUAUUCAUAAAUGUUUAUUCUUCUAGUUUUCAUUUUCUUCUGUAUAUUCUUUGUUUUAUUUUAUUUGUUUCUAUUGUUUUUGGUUGAGUCUCGGUUUUUGUCAUCGCUUGGAACAGCCGACACAAACCUUUCAAUGAGAAUCAAUGUGUUACACCAAAUCAUCUUUAUGUUCUUUUGUUAUGAGUGUAUUAUUUUUUUAAUGUACAAUUGGCAAACGACUG